Gopherus evgoodei (Goodes thornscrub tortoise) is the source of this 599-nucleotide long non-coding RNA. RefSeq lists it as uncharacterized. The transcript is spliced from 3 exons. NCBI's taxonomy places the organism in Eukaryota, Metazoa, Chordata, Testudines, Testudinidae. The record is from RefSeq and is a predicted model, not a curated record.
CUUUUCAACUGUUUAUUCCUUUUCACCUCUCUUUGUUAAAAAGCAGGUAAAAAAGCAAUCUUCUUCUCUCUGAUCCAAUGGUUAACAAAAUAAGGGGUAUAUAAACCAUCUGUUACUAAAAAUCUGGGGUGCUUCUGCCUGCUCUUUUACAUUUUAAUGAAACACUUAUGCCAAGGGGGCUAAAUACCAAAAAAACAACAACAACAAAAAAAGUGUCUUCAGGUAGCCUGUUUUUCAAAGGGGUCUUCUUUUCUAAUCCACUACCUUCAAAAGGCUGUUUCAAGUGGUUCACACUAAAAACCUGGGGGGACGGGGGGGGGGACUUUUUCUUAGUAAGGGUUUUGUGGGCUUAGGUCAGGGAUGCUUCUGCAUGCUCUUUUUUUUAAUUGAAAUACCCCUACAAAUAAAGAAAUGUGUCUUCAAGAUUGGUUCAGGAAAAUGAAUUCUAUGACGCUGCUGUAAAACCACCUCUGAUUGGGCCGAUCCAAAGGAAUUGAUAACAAGUGUGAGAGGGUCUGAACCAGAAAAGUUGCCUCAUUCUACAGAAAGACUUCAAAGGGUUAAACCAGAAAAGCUGCCUCAUUUACAAAAAGACUGCA